UGUCCUAACCUAACUACCCCAAAAGGGCCAGCUUCCAUAUGAUCUUGGAAGCUAAGCAGGCUCUGCCCUGGUUAGUAUUUGGAUGGGAGACCACCAAAAAUCCCAGGUGCUGAGACCU
Anolis carolinensis (green anole) is the source of this 118-nucleotide ribosomal RNA. The record is from Rfam. Lineage: Eukaryota; Metazoa; Chordata; Lepidosauria; Squamata; Anolidae.